AGUGAACGCUGGCGGUAGGCCUAACACAUGCAAGUCGAACGGCAGCUCAGUAAGAGCUUGCUCUUACGGGUGGCGAGUGGCGGACGGGUGAGGAAUACAUCGGAAUCUACUUUUUCGUGGGGGAUAACGUAGGGAAACUUACGCUAAUACCGCAUACGACCUACGGGUGAAAGCAGGGGAUCUUCGGACCUUGCGCGAUUGAAUGAGCCGAUGUCGGAUUAGCUAGUUGGCGGGGUAACGGCCCACCAAGGCGACGAUCCGUAGCUGGUCUGAGAGGCUGAUCAGCCACACUGGAACUGAGACACGGUCCAGACUCCUACGGGAGGCAGCAGUGGGGAAUAUUGGACAAUGGGCGCAAGCCUGAUCCAGCCAUACCGCGUGAGUGAAGAAGGCCUUCGGGUUGUAAAGCCCUUUUGUUGGGAAAGAAAAGCAGCAGGUUAAUACCCCGCUGUUCUGACGGUACCCAAAGAAUAAGCACCGGCUAACUUCGUG
Molecule: ribosomal RNA, 492 nt
Filed under: uncultured bacterium
Lineage: Bacteria
Description: partial 16S ribosomal RNA
Rfam family: Bacterial small subunit ribosomal RNA
Source: RNAcentral